RNAcentral lists this ribosomal RNA (253 nucleotides) under uncultured bacterium. RNAcentral describes it as "partial 16S ribosomal RNA". It matches the Rfam family "Bacterial small subunit ribosomal RNA", at positions 524 to 776 of the family's 1533-position model. The record is from RNAcentral.
UACGAAGGGGGCUAGCGUUGCUCGGACUCACUGGGCGUAAAGCGCACGUAGGCGGCUUUUUAAGUCAGGGGUGAAAUCCUGGAGCUCAACUCCAGAACUGCCUUUGAUACUGAGAAGCUCGAGUCCGGGAGAGGUGAGUGGAACUGCGAGUGUAGAGGUGAAAUUCGUAGAUAUUCGCAAGAACACCAGUGGCGAAGGCGGCUCACUGGCCCGGUACUGACGCUGAGGUGCGAAAGCGUGGGGAGCAAACAGG